Molecule: unclassified non-coding RNA, 343 nt
Filed under: soil metagenome
Description: partial contains 5.8S ribosomal RNA, internal transcribed spacer 2, and large subunit ribosomal RNA
Rfam family: 5.8S ribosomal RNA (bases 1-120)
Source: RNAcentral
GAUGAAGAACGCAGCGAAAUGCGAUAAGUAAUGUGAAUUGCUGAAUUCAGUGAAUCAUCGAAUCUUUGAACGCACAUUGCGCCCGCUAGUAUUCUGGCGGGCAUGCCUGUCCGAGCGUCAUUUCAACCCUCAAGCCCCCGGGCUUGGUGUUGGGGAUCGGCGAGCCUCCGCGCCCGCCGUCCCCUAAAUCUAGUGGCGGUCUCGCUGUAGCUUCCUCUGCGUAGUAGCAUACCUCGCACUGGGAAACAGCGCGGCCACGCCGUUAAACCCCCAACUUCUGAACGUUUGACCUCGGAUUAGGUAGGAAUACCCGCUGAACUUAAGCAUAUCAAUAAGCGGAGGA